This is a non-coding RNA of Struthio camelus australis, 1466 nucleotides long. NCBI's taxonomy places the organism in Eukaryota, Metazoa, Chordata, Aves, Struthioniformes, Struthionidae. The record is from RefSeq and is a predicted model, not a curated record.
UACUGGAGAAUUUUUGGCUUUGCUGAUAUAGCUUUUGUGCAAACUACCUUUUUUGGGUCAAAGAACAGGGAUGUCACACCACAUCUAUUUAAAACACAACCACUGUUCAUCAGUCAACUGAUGCUUGGCAGAUGAAAUAUUCCAUUCAUUAAUAGUAGGAAAAAACUGAGAUGGGUCACUUUGGAACACAGUGACGUCGGAUAACUUAGCCAGAACUUAUUGAUGACUGCAUGUUCAAUGGACUCAAGAAGGUAAUGGGAGAUGCAAGAAUGUACUCUUUUGAAGGAACAGAAGAGGAGGCAUUUCAAAGAUCCUGCAGGUGACUGAGGUAAUGAUCUGCUGCCAGAAUAAAUAAAUCUUAGAAAGUGCCAGCACAGCUCAACCAUUUGCUGUGAUCACUCCCACAUAAGAAACCUCUAUCAUCAUUGUCUGUCUUCAGGUGUCUUCUCUAGUGUGGUAAGUUUUCAAAUGUAUGAUCUCCUUCUGUGUCAGGAGAUUUAGAAAGUAGGAGCGAGGCAAGAACUGAAAGGUCUAGCUCCACUCCUAGAUUUUACUGGCAGAACUGGAAGCUCUAGUCAAUAAAGCUAGUCAUAGGCAUGUUAAACGCAUGUAAGGUUCGGUAAGGCUGUGGAGUGUAGUAAACACCACAGAACUAAAUUACAGUUGUAACUGAACUGUAGUUCGUAUUUCCUUCAUUCCUAUGAAGCGGACAACAUUUAGAGUUUAAAAUUUCUCUACUUGUUGUAUUAUCUGAAAUUAAUUUUUUAUAUACUUGCAACUGUAGUUGCAACUUAGUUCUUUCAAAAUGAUGUCAGUCUCUAAAUCAUUAUCUGGUACUAAAAACAACUAACAGAAAUCCAUGUAUAGCUCCUACAGCUCACCUUUGGAAUGAAGACCUAAUUACUUCUUACUGAUUUUGAUCCAAAGUUCAUUGAAGCAAUUUGGAAUCUUUCCAUUAAAGUUAUUUGGAUUUAGAUCAAAGUUCUUUUCCAAACACUGGUUUAGCAACACAGAGUAGCAGGCAGUCACCCUGUCAUCCACCAGCAUUGCCCACAGACUGUGUAUGUUUUGUGUAUUUGGUAUUCUAUUUGACAUUGUUUCUGGAAAAGAUGUCGCCUAAGCUGAUGAUGUCCCUGUGGUCAUGUAGAGCAUAUGGAACAAACUUUCUGCCCUGAAUACCUAUUUAUUUGGCAGUCACCAAAGUCUGCAGGUUCCACUCAUUCCAGCUUCAUUGUUGGAGUUUUCAUGGGAAGUGUCAACAUUAACAAGAUUUUAAACUGCAGGUAAAUAUAGAACAUCAUUUGAUUCUGGCAAAGAACUGUUUGCCUCAGCACUUGUGAGAUAAUGUAGAGUAACCAGCAAAUCAUUGAUGAAUCUGUAAUACACCACCAUUCCCUGGAGUGCUGAGGCAAAAUUGUGGUGAAGAAGAAGGAAAGACACCAAAAGUGAUUAAAUACAGUGAUAGA